This is a non-coding RNA of Ictidomys tridecemlineatus (thirteen-lined ground squirrel), 1833 nucleotides long. The record is from RefSeq and is a predicted model, not a curated record. NCBI's taxonomy places the organism in Eukaryota, Metazoa, Chordata, Mammalia, Rodentia, Sciuridae.
GGAAUCCCCCUUCCUGCUCCCAGCGUGGUCAGUCCUCUGAAGAGGUGACUGUCACAGUGCAGUCCGUUUGCUCUGUAUCUUGUUUGACUUUUUCCAACCACCACCAACUUUGGCGCCUAAUCGAAAAAUACGCUCCUUCAUUCCUUCAUUCCUUCACUGCUGUCUUAGGGCAAACAUAAAGAUCAGGGUGUACUUCCAGCCCAUGAGGUCACGAAUCUGGGCAUAAGUCAAAGAACAAAGACACUUGCUUUAUUAUGGGUUAUUAUUUGUCCACUUAAAGUUCUCGCAGUUCUUGGUAUGACCUUUUAAGAUUCACUUCUUGCCAAAAGUAACCAAAGGUCCAAAACCUGUAAAUCAGUCUGCUUCAAGAAACUCGUUCCUAACGCUCUGUUUUCGCAAUCUUUAUGAGGGAUACUUUGGUUCAUUGUGAAGAAUUUAACUCCCCCCCCUUUUUUUUGUCUGUGCCCCCUCUCCUUUUAAACCAAAUGGGUGCAGAAUGAUAUUAGGUGACUAGGUGACUGGGAUAUAAUCACCAAGACUUUGGUUUGGAAGGACCAUGAGUGACCACUGGGACAUGCUCCACUCAAUACAAUUAUCCCAUUUUUAGAAUAAUUACCAGCCCUUGCUCCACCAAGUGUUUAGCACAUGCAAGGCUUUCAUUCUGUUUUGUUUUGACAGCACUUUUAGGAAACUUUCCUUUAUAUUGAGCCCAAAUCUUUCUCUCCUUAACUUUGACCCAAAUGCCACAAUCUGAGCUCUGAGGAAACGCAAGUGAGGUCUACUCAUGCAGCUGUGGCAACAGAACAGUAUUAGUCACCAUUGAAUCAAUUCUGAGUACAGUGUCGCAGGCCUGUAGCUCCAGGUGUCCUUCCACCCGCUGUGAAUAUGGUGAACAAAACAGAAGAAGCCCAUGCCCGUGAGGCUGAUGAUCCCCUGGGGAGCCUAGGAACAGCCAAGGAGGUGAGGAGGCGUGAACAGAAGAGGGGGAGAAGGCAUAGCGCCCCACAGGGGACAUCCCGGGGCCAGAACCCUGGAAGCCACGUGAAGGAACUGGAUUAUGGAGGAAGGUGUGGAGCCCGGCCCUGGUGAGACGGCCAGCUGCAGGAAGAAGCGGCCAUCAAGCCCUUGGUGGCCUUGGGAGAGCUCUUUAGGUAGAGAGGGUGGGAGCAGGUUCACUGACAAGAGAGGGAGAGGUGGAGAUGGAAGGACAGGCAGCCUUCAAAGGGAGGAGAGAGGGGUUUGGAACCUGGAAGGCAAAGUGGGGCUGUGAAAAGCAUUUUAUUAAGAUGAGAGACAUCACAGGUUAGGGCCUUCUGAAGCUUGGAGACUGGAGUAUGGUGUCCACGCCAAGGACCACACAUGGCCAUGGCCCAUCCCAUGCCUGGCUUCUCCCACACCGUACACCCACGUAGGUUAGCUCCCCUGAGAAAAGAGUUCAGAUGCCGCUUUUCCUCUACAUUUAUGUGUCCUUGACUUUGUGUAAGAUAAAUCCCUUAGUUUGAUAUUAUUUAAAAAUCAAUAUGACAAACAUCUUAUUGUUCUAGAAUUACCAGAGUUAGAAAGCACUAUUUAAUUCCACAUUUUCAAAUGAGGAAACUGGAAUCCAAGGCAACUUCUUAAUGCAUAUGAAGUCAUAAAGCAUGUAUUGGGGUAUUUGUGUUAAUUUAUCACUUUGGAUACCUCAUUCUUCAAAAAUGUGUGGAUUAAAAAAUCAUCUGAGCUGGGCGCAGUGGCGCGCGCCUGUAAUCCCAGUGCCUCGGGAGGCAGAGGCAGGAGGAUUGCGAGUUCAAAGCCAGCCUCAAUAACAGCAAGGCACUCAGCACUCAGUGAGAU